UUUUCCUAUUUUUUUUUUCCCUUCUUUCUCUUUCUUCUCCCCAUCUCUUUCGCGACCGUGUUCGUUCACUUCCCAAAAGCCGUGGGAUUUGCGAUUAACAAUCUCCGUUCGUUGCACUUUUUGAUUAAACAAUAUUCAGUCGGGUGAUGAUUAAGCAAUCAGAACAACACAGCAAAGGAUAAUGAUAAUUAUCACACUUUAGCCUUACUUGCUGCAUCUGGUUCGUUUUUGCAAAGUUAUGGUUCUAUGGCACGCCCACUACCACAAGUAUUACCAAUGGCUUCAGCCAUCAGUAGCGGUGGAAGUGGCGGUCGAUGAUGUAAACGACAAAGUGGUUAGCAUGGGGUUCCCAAGGGAUCAAGUGAGAUAUCUCUCAAUGUAUGAUAAUCGGAUCCUUGGCUACUUUAAAGGGCAUAAAGACAGGGUUGUAUCGCUUUGUAUGUCUCCUCAUGUCUGCUUCUCUCGACCGAAGUGUCAUACUCUGGGAUCUUCGUGUUAAUGCCUGCCAGGCUUACCCUUUUAGUCAAUAGGGAAUUCUACAUCUUCGUGGUAGGCCUGCAGUUGCGUAUGACCAACAAGGCCUGGUGUUUGCUAUUGCAAUGGAAGUAGGUGCUGUUAAGUUGUUUGAUUCCCGGUGUUAUGACAAGGGUCCGUUUGACACAUUUCUGGUGGUGUUGAUUAUUCUACAUUUACCUCAGAUGGGUUCUCGAUGUUCCAAGCAUUUAAGGUUCCAUCUCCUGAACCUGUAUCCGAAAAUGAAAACUUAUUGUGAGAACAUACUUGUCAUCUCGUGUGAAGGUGGUGGCUUCUAUGGAUGUACCUUGUGAAGGCUCCAAACUAAAACCACAUUUCUGCAAAACAACAUACCGGCUUUACCAAUUUAAACCUAAACUUAUGCCUUCUCCAAGCGAAAGAUACAGAAUGUGAUUACCUUCUCUCCACGAAAAACGUAGAUAUUGUUAUUCGUAGUUGUUAGGAGCAUGGAUUUUCCUUGUGCUUGUCACAGUAUCUAAAUUUGUCCGGGGUUUUGUGUAACAAUCAGGUGGCGAGGUGGGAGAACAAUAUAGGAGUAGUAUCGUGUCUGAAAUGGGCAUCUCGUAGAGCCAUGUUUGUUGCUGCUUCUACGGUGUAUGUAUUUUCUAAGUUGUUUGAUUCCCGGUGUUAUGACAAGGUUUGCUACUCUAUUAUGAUUCACACAGCCUUACACAUGACUGCUCUUUAAACCAA
Non-coding RNA from Camelina sativa (false flax), 1227 nucleotides. The record is from RefSeq and is a predicted model, not a curated record. Lineage: Eukaryota; Viridiplantae; Streptophyta; Magnoliopsida; Brassicales; Brassicaceae.